AGUGGCGGACGGGUGCGUAACACGUGAGCAAUCUGCCCUCCAGUGGGGGAUAGCCGGCCUAACGGCCGGGUAAUACCGCGUAACACCUCGGGAUCGCAUGGUUCUGAGGUCAAAGCCGCAAGGCGCUGGGGGAGGAGCUCGCGACCUAUCAGCUUGUUGGUGGGGUAACGGCCUACCAAGGCAACGACGGGUAGCUGGUCUGAGAGGAUGGUCAGCCACACUGGAACUGAGACACGGUCCAGACUCCUACGGGAGGCAGCAGUGGGGAAUCUUGCGCAAUGGGGGAAACCUUGACGCAGCAACGCCGCGUGGGUGAUGAAGGCCUUCGGGUCGUAAAGCCCUGUCAGGUGGGAAGAAACCUGCGGAUGUUAAUACCACCCGCACUUGACGGUACCACCGGAGGAAGCACCGGCUAACUCCGUGCCAGCAGCCGCGGUAAUAC
This 442-nucleotide ribosomal RNA is filed under the name uncultured Geobacter sp. Its description in RNAcentral is "bacterial SSU rRNA". It matches the Rfam family "Bacterial small subunit ribosomal RNA", at positions 94 to 526 of the family's 1533-position model. Lineage: Bacteria; Pseudomonadati; Thermodesulfobacteriota; Desulfuromonadia; Geobacterales; Geobacteraceae. The record is from RNAcentral. RNAcentral also lists the same sequence under 1 other name.